Non-coding RNA from Vicia faba (fava bean), 240 nucleotides. The record is from the annotation of a GenBank genome assembly. NCBI's taxonomy places the organism in Eukaryota, Viridiplantae, Streptophyta, Magnoliopsida, Fabales, Fabaceae.
AUGGCCUCUAUCCGUUUCUUUUUCUUAGUUAUUUUAAUCGCUUUGUCACUUUCAAGCAUUGACAAGGUGCAAAGUGUUGGGAAUAGAAAACUUUUGACACUAUCAUUUCUUAAUGCAGGUAAAAUUCCAGGCUUAAAGUUUUCUACUUUCCCACCUGGAACUGAAUGGCCAGAGUACAGGUUGCCUCCACCGCUAUUCACUUUUCCACCAGUUACCACCGCAGCUACUACCAAACCAUGA